This is a non-coding RNA of Pangasianodon gigas (Mekong giant catfish), 76 nucleotides long. NCBI's taxonomy places the organism in Eukaryota, Metazoa, Chordata, Actinopteri, Siluriformes, Pangasiidae. The record is from the annotation of a GenBank genome assembly.
GGGCAGUGGUAGCUCAGUGGUUAAGACAUUGGACUACUGAUUGGAAGGUUGUGAGUUCAAAUCCCUCAACUGCUCA